AAGCAGAUCGGCGGCCGCGGGGAGGUUCGGGGCGGCGCAGCCCCGCGCGGUUGUGGGAUCGCUCCCGGGGGCCGCUCCUCUCUCGGGCACUGGGGUCGCGGGAGACGUCGUCGGGAGCUCGGUUUCUGGAGGCCCUUCCCCACCCGGCCUCUGCCUCCUCCACUCCCCCGGGCUGGACGGAACGGGGCCCAGCGCGGGAUGCGAGGUGCGUCCCCGGGGCCCGCAGCGGGCGGGAGCGCAGCCAGGGCCCGGUCGGGGACGCAGGCCCAGGGCGCUGAGGCUGCACCUGCCUCUCCGAAACCGGGCUGGCUCUUUUUGUCUUUUUAUUUUUCUAAUUUAUUUUUUUAGAGGUAUGAUUUCGCUCUGUCGCCCAGGCUGGAGGGCAGUGGCGCAAUCUCGGCUCACUGCAGCCUCGAACUCCUAGGCUGAAGCGAUUCUCCCGCCUCAGCCUCCAAAGUAGCCGGUACUACAGGCGCGCGCCACCACGCCUGGCUAAGGGUCUUACUAUGUCACCCAGACUGAAGUGCAGUGGCAUGAUCACAGGUCAUUGCAUCCUCAACCACCCAGACUCAAGCAAUCCUCCUGUCUCAGCCUUCCAAGUAACUGAGACCACAGAAAUAACCAUGGAUAUGGGUAGAGACAGAGCCAUAUGGAAUGCACACUGCAGUGGUGAACACAUGGCCCAGCUCUGCCAUCAAGGAGAAGGAACAUGAAUGGAGCUGGAGGCCAUCAUCCUUAGUGAACUAACACAGGAGCAGAAAACCAAAUACCACAUGUUCUCAUGUGUAAGUGGGAGCUAAAUGAUGAGAACACAUGGACACAAAGAGGGGAACAACAGACACUGAAGCCUCCUUGAGGGAGGAGGGUAAGAGGAAGGAGAAGAUCAGAAAAGAUAACUACCAGGUACUAUGGUAGCUUAGUACCUGGGUGAUGAAAUAAUCUGUACACCCAACCCUCAUGACAGAAGUUUACCUGUGUAACAAACCUGCACAUGUAUCCCUGAAACUAAAAGUUUUUUAAAAAGUUAUUUAAUAUAUAUAUAUUUUUUUGAGACGGAGUUUUGCUCUUGUUGCCCAGGCUGGAGUGCGGUGGCGCAAUUUCGGCUCACCACAACCUCCGCCUCCCAGGUUCAAGCUAUUCCCCUGCCUCAGCCUCCCUAGUAGCUGGGAUUACAGGCUUGUGCCACCACGCCGGCUAAUUUUGUAUUUUUUGUAGAGACGGGGUUUCUCCAUGUUGGUCAGGCUGGUCUCGAACUCCCGACCUCAGGUGAUCCACCCCCCUCGGCCUCCCAAAGUGCUAGGAUUACAGGCAUGAGCCACUGCGCCCGGCAAAAAGUUAUUUAAUAUUAAUGGGACAAUACUCAUUGCAAGAAUCAGACUUCAAUUGCUAGCAUAAGUAAAUGACAGGCAGGAGAUAUUGAAAAUGCAAUCUUAUAGACAUUCAAGGAGAGGACGCAGGACAUUUCUGUGUCAUAAAUGUACUAUGGAAAAUAAAAAUGAGAAAAAUGGAAAUAAAAUACAAGAAAAGGUUAUGAUAAAUUUCAUAUUAUUUUACCACAAUAAAAAAAUUUUAAUAAAUUAUAAAUGGUGUGAUAUGUUUUGCCUGUGUUCCACCCAAAUCUCAUCUUGAAUUAGAGCUCCCACAAUUCCCACGUGUUGUGGCUGGGACCCUGUGGGAGAUAAUUGAAUCAUGGGGGCAGUUUACCCCAUACUGUUCUCUUGGUGGUGAAUAAGUCUCAUGAGAGUUGAUGGUUUGAUAAGGGGUUUCCCCUUUUGCUUGGCUCUCAUUCUCUCUUGACUGCCACCAUGUAAGAUGUGCCUUUUGCCUUCCACCAUGAUUGUGAAGCCUCCCAGCCACAUGGAACUGUGAGUCCAUUAAACCUUUUUCUUUACAAAUUA
This 1898-nucleotide long non-coding RNA is filed under the name Homo sapiens (human). RNAcentral describes it as "CCNY antisense RNA 1, transcript variant 12 (CCNY-AS1)". The record is from RNAcentral. Lineage: Eukaryota; Metazoa; Chordata; Mammalia; Primates; Hominidae.